CAACCAAGGAACAUCUAUGGGCAAUCUACCUCUUCAAUAGGAGUCACACAGCAAAGCCUCAGUCUCUCUCUGUGGCCCUAGCAGGAAUUUGCUGUAACACUGGCUGGCAUGGAACUUGGUAUGUAGACCAGAUUGGCCUGAAACACACAAAGGCCUCCUGAGUUCUGGGAUUAAAAGGUCUGACAGCCAGUCCAAUGCUGAUAAGAACCUGCAUCUCAUCUUUUUCCUGAUAAUCAAAGAAAAGAAAAUAAUCCAUUUCUCCUG
Mastomys coucha (southern multimammate mouse) is the source of this 264-nucleotide long non-coding RNA. RefSeq lists it as uncharacterized. The transcript is spliced from 3 exons. Lineage: Eukaryota; Metazoa; Chordata; Mammalia; Rodentia; Muridae. The record is from RefSeq and is a predicted model, not a curated record.